Molecule: ribosomal RNA, 498 nt
Filed under: uncultured bacterium
Lineage: Bacteria
Description: partial 16S ribosomal RNA
Rfam family: Bacterial small subunit ribosomal RNA
Source: RNAcentral
GAUGAACGCUGGCGGCGUGCCUAAUACAUGCAAGUCGAGCGAACAGAUAAGGAGCUUGCUCCUUUGACGUUAGCGGCGGACGGGUGAGUAACACGUGGGUAACCUACCUAUAAGACUGGAAUAACUCCGGGAAACCGGGGCUAAUGCAGGAUAACAUGUUGAACCGCAUGGUUCUACAGUGAAAGGCGGCUUUGCUGUCACUUAUAGAUGGACCCGCGCCGUAUUAGCUAGUUGGUGAGGUAACGGCUCACCAAGGCAACGAUACGUAGCCGACCUGAGAGGGUGAUCGGCCACACUGGAACUGGGACACGGGCCAGACUCCUACGGGAGGCAGCAGUAGGGAAUCUUCCGCAAUGGGCGAAAGCCUGACGGAGCAACGCCGCGUGAGGGAUGAAGGGCUUCGGAUCGUAAAACUCUGUUAUUAGGGAAGAACAAAUGCGUAAGUAACUGUGCGCGUCUUGACGGUACCUAAUCAGAAAGCCACGGCUAACUACGUGC